UAUGCAAAUAUGCAAGACUCCAGCAUAUAAAGAAUUGGACAAUUUAUCAUUCUCUACCUUAUCUAAAUCAGCCCAAUGAAAAUGGAUUUUAUGUUAUUUUUCGUGGUGUUUUCCCCAAUAAGUGUCCUCUGUCAGACACUACAGGAGUCAGGACCAGGACUUGUGAAACCUUCACAGAAACUCGAUCUGACCUGUACAGUGUCUGGGUUUGAGUUAACCAGCUAUGCUGUAAGCUGGAUCAGACAACAUCCUGGGAAAGGACUGGAAUGGAUUGGACAAAUAUGGAGCAAUGGCAACACCUAUUAUGCUGAUUCAAUGAAGAGUAGAACGACCAUCACAAAAGACAACUCCAAGAAGCAGGUCUAUCUCCAGAUGAAUAACAUGGAGGCUGCAGAUUCUGGAACAUAUUAUUGUACAAGACACACAUAG
This is a non-coding RNA of Bufo bufo (common toad), 429 nucleotides long. The record is from the annotation of a RefSeq genome assembly. Lineage: Eukaryota; Metazoa; Chordata; Amphibia; Anura; Bufonidae.